UAAGAGUUGGUUUAUAUUAUAGAACGGUUGAUUGUUGAUCAAUAGGAUUUUCUCUUAG
This 58-nucleotide transfer RNA is filed under the name Toxascaris leonina. Its description in RNAcentral is "tRNA-Asn". The record is from RNAcentral. Lineage: Eukaryota; Metazoa; Nematoda; Chromadorea; Rhabditida; Ascarididae.